Long non-coding RNA from Corythoichthys intestinalis (scribbled pipefish), 2225 nucleotides. RefSeq lists it as uncharacterized. NCBI's taxonomy places the organism in Eukaryota, Metazoa, Chordata, Actinopteri, Syngnathiformes, Syngnathidae. The record is from RefSeq and is a predicted model, not a curated record. The transcript is spliced from 3 exons.
UGGGUUGACAGGUAUACCUACCUGACCAGAUGAAAGAACAGCAUCAGGCUGUCAGCCGAUCUCUGACUCGACCGGACGAUGAAAACAUACAAGUAGACGGCGAUGGCCACGGUCCAGAAAAAGGAGCUGGUGUUGGCGAAAGUGGAUAUCGCUCCUUGAACUAUGCAGUCCAAGGAGUCCGAGUCAAAUACUCGCCACACUCCAAAGGCGUAGGAGACCGCGGAGAGCCAGUCGGCCACCGAGAGGAAUAGCAGCAAUUUUCGCGGAGUUGUCCGCAAAUCGGCCAAACUCACCUAAGACACUGCCAGAGAAACACCCACAGCAGCCGCACGCCUCCUCUUGCCAGCUGGUCCUCGAACCCUCACACUGUUCCGGAUCGACUCGGAUCUGGAAGCUCUACAAGACAAGCAGAAGAUGAUCAGUAUUCUCAGAUUCAACGUGGGAGGAGAAACCAGUUUGCUCAGUGGAAGGUUGACUCGCACCGGUUAUGAGGAAGUACAACAAAGCUCAUCUUCGUGCUAUCCAACGUUUCCUCCGGUUGUAUCCUGCUUUGAUCAUUUUGUUUUGUUUUUUGGUGCUGUAUUUUCUAAUAGACGUGGUUAAAUACGCGUACUGUUUGGCAUGCUUCCUUUAUUGAUUGAUUAUUUUUUUGUCUGUGGUUGAGAUCCACAUAAAUGGCUUGUCAUUCACCACACAUAUUAGCUUGCUAGCUUAGAUAAUGCAUUGGUACCUCGAGAUACAAAAGCUUCGGUACACGAAAAAUUCAUUUUACGAAGUUUUUUGAAGGUUUUUCUUCUUCAUUUUACGAAAAAUUAUCAUCAUACAACAGAUAAUACAUACUGUAAUCGGAUCAUUCCCGUUCACAGCAAUGCAAAAAUGUAACUACGUUUUACUAUAAAUGUACACAAAACAAAUAUACAUACUACAAAGCUCAAGUAUAUGAAACAAAAGAACUUAAAAUUGGUUGCCAAAGUUAGCUCAUCUUUUACCACUCUGUGUUUGCUAUGACUGCUAGUAGUCAAGUGAUAACAUCUGUAGAAUGGGCCUAACAAACUAGGUACACUUAGGCACCAAAGCAUCACAAGUGAUAACAGGUAAUCAGAGGACAUGACAGCAAAUUUAAUGUGGUGUUUUUAGUUUAUCUUAAAAAUAUUUAGGCGAUUUUACAUGUAAAACCCAAUUGACUGUACGAAAAAAAAAUCAUGAAACAAAAGCCACUCCGGAACAAAUUCAUCUCGUAUUUUGAGGUACCACUUUGUCAGUUUUGAAUUUGGACCCAAAAAAAUGCUUUAUAAUCUAAUUUCGAAGCGUUGGUGGAUGCACAAGUCAAACUUGUGGCGUUUGGUACUUUUAACAAUCUUAAGAAGCACCGCUUUAGACCCCGGGUGUCCAAACUAUUCCAUAAAAGUGGGUGCAGGUCAGUGGGGUGCUAAGGGUGCUGCAGCAUCCCCUGGUGUUGGGGAGAAAAAAAAGCGUUUUGAUAGAUUUUUUCCAUUGUGUGUGUUAAAAAAAUAAAUCAAGAAAUAUAAUAUUUAGAAACAAGAGCGUAUGUAACUUUGGGGAUUAAAUAUAUAUAUUGAAAAAGUUUUUUGUUUGUUUGUCUGUAACAUGGUCACCACCACUGCUUAAUUUGUAAAUCAUAAGGUGCCGGAACGCAAAGUACAUAUGACGGCGCAGGGAUGACGAGACAGGCACAGGUCCCGGAACAUACGCAGAAAAUGGUGCUGAAAACAACACACAAAUGCCCACUUGCCAUGCUGUGGGACUUACAAUCCACAAUUUCAGAUAAUAUCCAUGGUAUAAAUGUUAUGACAACAAUUUACAAUUAUUUAAGCUAUCCUCUGCACGGCACGGGCAAUUGCCCACAAGUGGGACUUACAGUACACAGUCAGCAAUUAGUUUCUCAACAUGUCUAACUUGUAAAACAUAAAAAAAAAAAAAAAAUUACAAUAAAUAACACAAACCCAUUCUUUUCCGAGUUUCAUCCCCCGCCGUCUUCUCUGGCCCCAAAGUUCCUACCGCCUUACAAAUUGUGCAGCCCAAACCCGAAUUUCCCAUAAGGGUACUGGCCUGUUGCUCCGGCUGUUGGUGGUCCAUUCGGCUGACUGCUGGUGCUGUAGUUGGCCCCCACUCCGGGUGACGCUGAACCUGACCAGCUGCUGCCACGGUAGCAGCCUCCUGCCCCGGCUUGGCUGGCUGUCCAUGAAUCUGGCUAGCUGCCGCAA